ACUCCUACGGGAGGCAGCAGUAGGGAAUCUUCGGCAAUGGACGAAAGUCUGACCGAGCAACGCCGCGUGAGUGAAGAAGGUUUUCGGAUCGUAAAACUCUGUUGUUAGAGAAGAACGUUGUGUAGAAUGGAAAAUUACACAAGUGACGGUAUCUAACCAGAAAGGGACGGCUAACUACGUGCCAGCAGCCGCGGUAAUACA
Molecule: ribosomal RNA, 201 nt
Filed under: uncultured bacterium
Lineage: Bacteria
Description: partial 16S ribosomal RNA
Rfam family: Bacterial small subunit ribosomal RNA
Source: RNAcentral